AUUGAACGCUGGCGGCAUGCCUUACACAUGCAAGUCGAACGGCAGCACGGGAGCAAUCCUGGUGGCGAGUGGCGAACGGGCGAGUAAUAUAUCGGAACGUGCCCAGUCGUGGGGAUAACGUAGCGAAAGCUAGGCUAAUACCGCAUACGAUCUAUGGAUGAAAGCGGGGAUCGCAAGACCUCGCGCGAUUGGAGCGGCCGAUAUCAGAUUAGGUAGUUGGUGAGGUAAAGGCUCACCAAGCCGACGAUCUGUAGCUGGUCUGAGAGGACGACCAGCCACACUGGGACUGAGACAGGCCCAGACUCCUACGGGAGGCAGCA
RNAcentral lists this ribosomal RNA (320 nucleotides) under uncultured bacterium. RNAcentral's name for it is "bacterial SSU rRNA". It matches the Rfam family "Bacterial small subunit ribosomal RNA", at positions 30 to 353 of the family's 1533-position model. The record is from RNAcentral.